RNAcentral lists this transfer RNA (73 nucleotides) under Mahanarva spectabilis. RNAcentral's name for it is "tRNA-Ile". Lineage: Eukaryota; Metazoa; Arthropoda; Insecta; Hemiptera; Cercopidae. The record is from RNAcentral.
AAUAAGAUGCCUGAAAUUCAAAAGGACUAUUUUGAUGUAAUAGAAUAUGUAAAAAAUUAAUUUACUCUUAUUA